ACGGAAGGCAGCAGUGAGGAAUAUUGGUCAAUGGACGGAAGUCUGAACCAGCCAUGCCGCGUGAAGGAAUAAGGCCCUAUGGGUCGUAAACUUCUUUUGAGUGGGAGCAAUAAGGUGCACGAGUGCAUCGAUGAGAGUACCAUUCGAAUAAGCAUCGGCUAACUCCGUGCCAGCAGCCGCGGUAAUACGGAGGAUGCAAGCGUUAUCCGGAUUUAUUGGGUUUAAAGGGUGCGUAGGCUGUUUGUCAAGUCAGGGGUGAAAUGCCGAGGCUUAACCUUGGAAUUGCCUUUGAUACUGGCAGGCUUGAAUACAGUUGCCGUGGGAGGAAUGAGUAGUGUAGCGGUGAAAUGCAUAGAUAUUACUCAGAACACCGAUUGCGAAGGCAUCUCACGAAGCUGCGAUUGACGCUGAGGCACGAAAGUGUGGGGAUCAAACAGGAUUAGAUACCCUGGUA
RNAcentral lists this ribosomal RNA (454 nucleotides) under uncultured Rikenellaceae bacterium. Its description in RNAcentral is "partial 16S ribosomal RNA". It matches the Rfam family "Bacterial small subunit ribosomal RNA", at positions 341 to 792 of the family's 1533-position model. RNAcentral also lists the same sequence under 1 other name. The record is from RNAcentral. Lineage: Bacteria; Pseudomonadati; Bacteroidota; Bacteroidia; Bacteroidales; Rikenellaceae.